RNAcentral lists this transfer RNA (66 nucleotides) under Pertya dioica. Its description in RNAcentral is "Myripnois dioica partial tRNA-His". The record is from RNAcentral. Lineage: Eukaryota; Viridiplantae; Streptophyta; Magnoliopsida; Asterales; Asteraceae.
GGCGGAUGUAGCCAAGGGAAUCAGGGGAGGGUAUGGAAAAACCCACCCCAUGCGCGGAAGGGGCUU